This 98-nucleotide small nucleolar RNA is filed under the name Phaseolus vulgaris (common bean). Lineage: Eukaryota; Viridiplantae; Streptophyta; Magnoliopsida; Fabales; Fabaceae. The record is from RNAcentral.
UUGAAGGCUAUGAUGUUGAAAACUACCUAUUUUACGAGCUAAUGGAAAAUUGUUCCUUCGUGAUUAGAAAACUACCAAUGGAUCCUUCCGAGCCUUUA